RNAcentral lists this non-coding RNA (162 nucleotides) under Ponticaulis sp. Its description in RNAcentral is "6S RNA". It matches the Rfam family "6S / SsrS RNA". From Rfam's summary of the family: E. coli 6S RNA was the first non coding RNA to be sequenced, but its function was unknown until recently. It consists of 184 nucleotides that fold into an extended hairpin structure with a large single-stranded internal bulge. The 6S RNA specifically associates with RNA polymerase holoenzyme containing the sigma70 specificity factor. Lineage: Bacteria; Pseudomonadati; Pseudomonadota; Alphaproteobacteria; Hyphomonadales; Hyphomonadaceae. The record is from RNAcentral.
CGGCGGCUGCGGCGUUCGAGCAGGGCUUUUAUUCCAGCGACCUUACAUUCUCAUCAGGGAACUGGCAGAACUGUCUGGAUCGUGGUCCAGGUAACCGGUGCCCACCUAGCUUUGCUGGGUCGAUGGGAAUAAACAUACCUGAACGGCGCACGCGGUCGCUUU